AGGACGAACGCUGGCGGCGUGCUUAACACAUGCAAGUCGAGCGGAAAGGCCCUUCGGGGUACUCGAGCGGCGAACGGGUGAGUAACACGUGAGUAAUCUGCCCCUAGCUCUGGGAUAGCUCCGGGAAACCGGGAUUAAUACCAGAUACGACCACUUUAGACAUCUUUUGUGGUGGAAAGAAUUUCGGCUAGGGAUGAACUCGCGGCCUAUCAGCUUGUUGGUGAGGUAACGGCUCACCAAGGCGACGACGGGUAGCCGGCCUGAGAGGGCGACCGGCCACACUGGGACUGAGACACGGCCCAGACUCCUACGGGAGGCAGCAGUGGGGAAUAUUGCGCAAUGGGCGAAAGCCUGACGCAGCGACGCCGCGUGGGGGAUGAAGGCCUUCGGGUUGUAAACCCUUUCAGCAGGGACGAAGCGAAAGUGACGGUACCUGCAGAAGAAGCGCCGGCUAACUACGCGCCAGCAGCCGC
This 473-nucleotide ribosomal RNA is filed under the name uncultured bacterium. RNAcentral's name for it is "SSU rRNA". It matches the Rfam family "Bacterial small subunit ribosomal RNA", at positions 26 to 518 of the family's 1533-position model. The record is from RNAcentral.